CCUACGGGUGGCAGCAGUGAGGAAUAUUGGUCAAUGGGCUUACGCCUGAACCAGCCAAGUCGCGUGAGGGAAGACUGCCCUAUGGUUUUUAAACCUCUUUUGUCAGGGAGCAAUUGGCGCUACGUGUAGCGUUAUCGAGAGUACCUGAAGAAAAAGCAUCGGCUAACUCCGUGCCAGCAGCCGCGGUAAUACGGAGGAUGCGAGCGUUAUCCGGAUUUAUUGGGUUAAAAGGGUGCGUAGGCGGAAAGCAAAGUCAGCGGUAAAUGCGCGGGCCUCAACCUCGCUCCGCCGUUGAAACUGGCGUGCUUGAGUGGGCGAGAAGUAUGCGGAAUGCGUGGUGUAGCGGUGAAAUGCAUAGAGAUCACGAAGAACUCCGAUUGCGAAGGCAGCAUACCGGCGCCCAACUGACGCUGAAGCACGAAAGCGUGGGUAUCGAACAGGAUUAGAUACCCGAGUAGUC
This 460-nucleotide ribosomal RNA is filed under the name uncultured bacterium. Its description in RNAcentral is "partial 16S ribosomal RNA". It matches the Rfam family "Bacterial small subunit ribosomal RNA", at positions 338 to 795 of the family's 1533-position model. The record is from RNAcentral.